RNAcentral lists this ribosomal RNA (207 nucleotides) under uncultured bacterium. RNAcentral describes it as "partial 16S ribosomal RNA". It matches the Rfam family "Bacterial small subunit ribosomal RNA", at positions 568 to 774 of the family's 1533-position model. The record is from RNAcentral.
CGUGUAGCCGGGCCGACAAGUCAGAUGUGAAAUCCGCGGGCUUAACCCGCGAACUGCAUUUGAAACUGUUGGUCUUGAGUAUCGGAGAGGUAAUCGGAAUUCCUAGUGUAGCGGUGAAAUGCGUAGAUAUUAGGAAGAACACCAGUGGCGAAGGCGGAUUACUGGACGACAACUGACGGUGAGGCGCGAAAGCGUGGGGAGCAAACA